GACGUCGGAGGCGAGCGUUGUCCGGAUUCAUUGGGCGGAAAGAGCACGCAGGCGGUUUGGCAAGGCGGAUGUGAAAACCCGAAGCUCAACUUCGGGCCUGCAUCCGAAACUGCCCGACUAGAGGUAGGUAGGGGAGAUCGGAAUUCCUGGUGUAGCGGUGAAAUGCGCAGAUAUCAGGAGGAACACCGGUGGCGAAGGCGGAUCUCUGGGCCUUACCUGACGCUCAGGUGCGAAAGCUAGGGGAGCGAACAGG
This 253-nucleotide ribosomal RNA is filed under the name uncultured bacterium. RNAcentral's name for it is "partial 16S ribosomal RNA". It matches the Rfam family "Bacterial small subunit ribosomal RNA", at positions 524 to 776 of the family's 1533-position model. The record is from RNAcentral.